RNAcentral lists this ribosomal RNA (499 nucleotides) under uncultured bacterium. RNAcentral's name for it is "partial 16S ribosomal RNA". It matches the Rfam family "Bacterial small subunit ribosomal RNA", at positions 29 to 523 of the family's 1533-position model. The record is from RNAcentral.
AUUGAACGCUGGCGGCAUGCCUUACACAUGCAAGUCGAACGGCAGCGCGGACUUCGGUCUGGCGGCGAGUGGCGAACGGGUGAGUAAUACAUCGGAACGUACCGUGUUGCGGGGAUAACCAGUCGAAAGAUCAGCUAAUACCGCAUACGACCUGAGGGUGAAAGUGGGGGACCGCAAGGCCUCACGCAGCAGGAGCGGCCGAUGUCUGAUUAGCUAGUUGGUGGGGUAAAGGCCCACCAAGGCGACGAUCAGUAGCUGGUCUGAGAGGACGAUCAGCCACACUGGGACUGGGACACGGCCAAGACUCCUACGGGAGGCAGCAGUGGGGAAUUUUGGACAAUGGGGGCAACCCUGAUCUAGCAAUGCCGCGUGUGUGAAGAAGGCCUUCGGGUUGUAAAGCACUUUUGUCCGGAAAGAAAUCGCGCUGGUUAAUACCUGGCGUGGAUGACGGUACCGGAAGAAUAAGCACCGGCUAACUACGUGCCAGCAGCCGCCGUAA